This 88-nucleotide non-coding RNA is filed under the name Actinomyces graevenitzii. RNAcentral's name for it is "TPP riboswitch (THI element)". It matches the Rfam family "TPP riboswitch aptamer (THI element)", at positions 10 to 89 of the family's 105-position model. Rfam says of the family: Vitamin B(1) in its active form thiamin pyrophosphate (TPP) is an essential coenzyme that is synthesised by coupling of pyrimidine and thiazole moieties in bacteria. The previously detected thiamin-regulatory element, thi box was extended, resulting in a new, highly conserved RNA secondary structure, the THI element, which is widely distributed in eubacteria and also occurs in some archaea. The record is from RNAcentral. Lineage: Bacteria; Bacillati; Actinomycetota; Actinomycetes; Actinomycetales; Actinomycetaceae.
ACCCCAGGGGAGCACCACGCGGUGCUGAGAGUGCGCUUGGCGCAGACCCUCGAACCUGAUCCGGGUAAUACCGGCGUAAGGGAGUCGG